AACAGGCCUGGAUGAACGGUAGCUGCUGCGGUUACAUUAUUAGCUUCAGUUUGCCCGCCCAGGCUAGAUGUUUAAUCAGAUUUCACAGACUUCACAGUGUGAGUUGGGGAUGUGACUUCGUAUGAAAGUGAAGGAACUCAGGCUCAGAGAGGGAAGCCCUCUCCGGGUUCGCUGAGGCCGCGGGCACGACCUUCGUCAGUCUGGUGGUGUCCGGCCGGGUGGUGGCAGCAACAGAGGGUUGGUGGCGGCUGGGGACGCCCGAGGCCGUGCUGCUCCCCUGGCUGGUGGGGUCCCUGCCGCCGCAGACCGCUCGCGACUACCCGGUGUACCUGCCGCACGGGAGCCCCACGGUCCCACACCGGCUCCUGACCCUGACUCUGCUGCCGAGCCUGGAGCUGUGUCUACUCUGCGGGCCGAGCCCACCCCUCAGCCAGUUGUAUCCACAGCUUCUGGAGCGCUGGUGGCAGCCACUGCUGGACCCGUUGCGGGCCUGUCUGCCGUUGGGACCCCGGGCGCUGCCCAGUGGCUUCCCCCUUCACACAGACAUCCUCGGGCUGCUGCUCCUCCACCUGG
RNAcentral lists this long non-coding RNA (573 nucleotides) under Homo sapiens (human). RNAcentral describes it as "non-protein coding lnc-TSKS-1:2". The record is from RNAcentral. Lineage: Eukaryota; Metazoa; Chordata; Mammalia; Primates; Hominidae.